CUUUGCUUACCAACCUCUACACUCACUGUUGCUUAUUCUCAAGAAACUUGUUUUUUUGUUCUUGUCUUGGCCUUCUCUUUCCUUCUGGAGAAUAUUUUUCUUGAAGUUGCUGUCGAUGGAUGUUCUACACUUCGUGAUCGGUAUUUUUGGAAAUGCCACUGCUUUGUUCCUCUUCUUGGCUCCAACGAUUACAUUCAAGAGAAUCAUAAGGAGCAAGUCCACAGAGCAGUUCGGUCAUCACGUACGGGAUGCCUGAAACUGCUCUGUGGACUUGCUCCUUAUGA
RNAcentral lists this unclassified non-coding RNA (284 nucleotides) under Hevea brasiliensis (rubber tree). Lineage: Eukaryota; Viridiplantae; Streptophyta; Magnoliopsida; Malpighiales; Euphorbiaceae. The record is from RNAcentral.